Molecule: non-coding RNA, 27 nt
Filed under: Homo sapiens (human)
Lineage: Eukaryota; Metazoa; Chordata; Mammalia; Primates; Hominidae
Source: RNAcentral
UCCAGGGCCCUAGACGUGGAUGAAGUC